GCAAGCCUGACGGAGCAACGCCGCGUGAGUGAAGAAGGUCUUGGAUCGUAAAGCUCUGUUGAUGGGGACGAACGUGCGAAGGGUGAAUAAUCCUUUGCAAUGACGGUACCUAUCGAAGAAGCCACGGCUAACUACGUGCCAGCAGCCGCGGUAAUACGUAGGUGGCGAGCGUUGUCCGGAAUCAUUGGGCGUAAAGGGAGCGCAGGCGGGCAUGUAAGUCUUUCUUAAAAGUUCGGGGCUCAACCCCGUGAUGGGAAAGAAACUACAUGUCUUGAGUACAGGAGAGGAAAGCGGAAUUCCCAGUGUAGCGGUGAAAUGCGUAUAUAUAGGGAGGAACACCAGUGGCGAAGGCGGCUUUCUGGACUGCAACUGACGCUGAGGCUCGAAAGCCAGGGGAGCGAGCGGGAUUAGAUACCCCGGUAGUCCUGGCCGUAAACGAUGGAUACUAGGUGUGGGAGGUAUCGACCCCUACCGUGCCGGAGUUAACGCAUAAGUAUCGCGCCCUGGGGAGUACGGUCGCAAGACUGAAGCU
This 532-nucleotide ribosomal RNA is filed under the name Selenomonas sp. oral taxon 479. RNAcentral's name for it is "bacterial SSU rRNA". It matches the Rfam family "Bacterial small subunit ribosomal RNA", at positions 377 to 901 of the family's 1533-position model. Lineage: Bacteria; Bacillati; Bacillota; Negativicutes; Selenomonadales; Selenomonadaceae. The record is from RNAcentral.